This 468-nucleotide ribosomal RNA is filed under the name uncultured bacterium. Its description in RNAcentral is "partial 16S ribosomal RNA". It matches the Rfam family "Bacterial small subunit ribosomal RNA", at positions 28 to 507 of the family's 1533-position model. The record is from RNAcentral.
GACGAACGCUGGCGGCGUGCUUAACACAUGCAAGUCGAACGGAAAGGCCCUGCUUUUGUGGGGUGCUCGAGUGGCGAACGGGUGAGUAACACGUGAGUAACCUGCCCUUGACUUUGGGAUAACUUUAGGAAACUGGGGCUAAUACCGGAUAGGAGCUCCUGCUGCAUGGUGGGGGUUGGAAAGUUUCGGCGGUUGGGGAUGGACUCGCGGCUUAUCAGCUUGUUGGUGGGGUAGUGGCUUACCAAGGCUUUGACGGGUAGCCGGCCUGAGAGGGUGACCGGCCACAUUGGGACUGAGAUACGGCCCAGACUCCUACGGGAGGCAGCAGUGGGGAAUAUUGAACAAUGGGCGGAAGCCUGAUGCAGCAACGCCGCGUGCGGGAUGACGGCCUUCGGGUUGUAAACCGCUUUCGCCUGUGACGAAGCGUGAGUGACGGUAAUGGGUAAAGAAGCACCGGCUAACUACGUG